Molecule: RNA transcript, 1007 nt
Organism: Lutra lutra (Eurasian river otter)
Lineage: Eukaryota; Metazoa; Chordata; Mammalia; Carnivora; Mustelidae
Exons: 3
Source: RefSeq, a predicted model, not a curated record
AGGCACCCCCUUUCCCAUCCCUACUGCCACCAUUCACAGGGAAGAGAAAAGCUGCCCUCCCUGCCCAGAAGACCCACUGGCUUGGCCGGGGCACGGGGUCAGGCUCCACCCACCCCCCUCACACACACCCCCGCCAGCUCACCGAUGUUGGGGUGCUUCAGCAGGCGGCAGAUGCGGGCUUCGCGCUCCAGCUUCUGAUGAUCUGAAACACAGACACCCAGCUGAGUCCCAGGCCUAUUUCUGCAUUCCCGUCCUGCAUGAGCAAGUGGCCACAGCCCAGCAGCCUUGGCAAACAACAAAAAAGCCAGCCCAGUCCUCCCACGGCCCUGAGGCCCUGAGCCGAGCAGGCUGCAGCCACCCACAGCCAGGCUCCAGAAGAUGCGGCAGGGACUCGGUGUCUUUGAGCUGUCCCCUACCCCACAGACCUGCCCCAUGCCAACCCAGCAGAAGUCUCGUGGGGGACACAGAAGGCCUGGGAACCGGAAGAUUCUGUUUGCUGCGGGGAACAUUGAACCAACAGAAGUCCCAACAUAUUUCUUGUUUUGGCUGUGCCUGGGUUUUCUUGAAUGGGUUACAAAAAGGGAACUUGAAAAAUAUUCUCAGACCUUGGAGAUGGGACCAGAGCAGACAGAGCAGGGGGCGAUGAGGAAGGUCUGCUUUCUCCCCAGGCUACAUCCACCUGCACACCCUGAAGGCUUCCAGAGGUUCAGAGAGAGAGGCUCCAAGGGCUAAGGGGGCCAAGCGCCAGACUGGAAAGAGGCUGGAGUGCCCUACUUUUGUGUGUCUUUGGCUUGCGUGACUUUGCCCAGGACCCUGGCCCUUUCUGGGCCUGAGUUCUCCAUCUGAAAGACAAAGGAGCACUCCUCAUUCCGAGUGAGCCUGAGGAUAUUCUGGCCCCUAAACCAUCUCCCACUUCAUGCUUGUGGCAUCUCACCAGCCAAGGCAGGAGGAAGAUGGAGGCAAGGGGUGGGGAGGGCUGUGAGUGUGUGCCUGUCUGGGGACACACU